Molecule: ribosomal RNA, 497 nt
Filed under: uncultured bacterium
Lineage: Bacteria
Description: partial 16S ribosomal RNA
Rfam family: Bacterial small subunit ribosomal RNA
Source: RNAcentral
GAUGAACGCUGGCGGCGUGCCUAAUACAUGCAAGUCGAGCGAACAGACGAGGAGCUUGCUCCUCUGACGUUAGCGGCGGACGGGUGAGUAACACGUGGAUAACCUACCUAUAAGACUGGGAUAACUUCGGGAAACCGGAGCUAAUACCGGAUAAUAUAUUGAACCGCAUGGUUCAAUAGUGAAAGACGGUUUUGCUGUCACUUAUAGAUGGAUCCGCGCCGCAUUAGCUAGUUGGUAAGGUAACGGCUUACCAAGGCGACGAUGCGUAGCCGACCUGAGAGGGUGAUCGGCCACACUGGAACUGAGACACGGUCCAGACUCCUACGGGAGGCAGCAGUAGGGAAUCUUCCGCAAAGGGCGAAAGCCUGACGGAGCAACGCCGCGUGAGUGACGAAGGUCUUCGGAUCGUAAAACUCUGUUAUUAGGGAAGAACAAAUGUGUAAGUAACUAUGCACGUCUUGACGGUACCUAAUCAGAAAGCCACGGCUAACUACGUG